AUUGAACGCUGGCGGCAGGCUUAACACAUGCAAGUCGAGCGGGGGAAGGUAGCUUGCUACUGGACCUAGCGGCGGACGGGUGAGUAGUGCUUAGGAAUCUGCCUAUUAGUGGGGGACAACAUCUCGAAAGGGAUGCUAAUACCGCAUACGUCCUACGGGAGAAAGCAGGGGAUCUUCGGACCUUGCGCUAAUAGAUGAGCCUAAGUCGGAUUAGCUAGUUGGUGGGGUAAAGGCCUACCAAGGCGACGAUCUGUAGCGGGUCUGAGAGGAUGAUCCGCCACACUGGGACUGAGACACGGCCCAGACUCCUACGGGUGGCAGAAGUGGGGAAUUUUGGACAAUGGGGGGAACCCUGAUCCAGCCAUGCCGCGUGUGUUAAGAAGGCCUUAUGGUUGUAAAGCACUUUAAGCGAGGAGGAGGCUACUUUAGUUAAUACCUAGAGAUAGUGGACGUUACUCGCAGAAUAAGCACCGGCUAACUCUGUGCCAGCAGCCGCCGUAA
RNAcentral lists this ribosomal RNA (501 nucleotides) under uncultured bacterium. RNAcentral's name for it is "partial 16S ribosomal RNA". It matches the Rfam family "Bacterial small subunit ribosomal RNA", at positions 30 to 523 of the family's 1533-position model. The record is from RNAcentral.